ACCCCACUUACAAUGCUGUCCUUUCAUCACUUCCCAGGAAACUGAAUUGCAUUUCCUCUUGGCCUCAGAUGAAUAUACCGACGAUGGUCGUUCAGACUUGGCCACGGGUGGCUCUAACGACCAUGACCACUGUUGUUACCACAGCCAGGAACACUAACGAACCAGCUGUAUAGACGAUCCUAGCAGAGGUUAAAUAGUUGAGUUUCCCUACCAGUCAGUCAGAACUGAAGUGUCUAGGAUGAGGGAUGAAACAUCUUCCAGUAUCUUCAACCAAGUCCAGUUGCCCUUGACCUCAACCUUCGUUGGAUAACUAUGACCUGGUUGACAGAGAAGCUUCACAGACAAGGUGCUGUACUGUUGCCUCACAGCAAGAAGGUUUUGGGUUUGACCCUGCAGGCAACUGGAGCCUUUCUGUGUGAAGUUGGCAUGUUCUUCCUGUGCGUACCCGGGUUUUCUUCAGGUGCUUAAACAUACAGGUUAAUUGGCGACUCUUAACUUGUCCAUAGAUGUGAAUGUGAGUGUAAAUGUCUUAUCAUUCAGGUUAGUGGUACUGGUGAAGCCCUGCGAAUAACUGCCAGCCUGUCCGGAUGCACCCCACAUCUCGCCAUUGUGAAGCUUGACUUAUUCAGUGUACCGACAGAGCCUACACAUGUAGCAGCCAAACUAAUACUUUACCCAGCAUGUGCGCCCUUAAAACUGUUACCAUGGGCCUCUUGGCUUAGGGGUUAGAAAUCUGGCCCUAAACUGCAGUGUCCCUGUUUUAUUCCAGCUGAUGACCUUUCUUGCAUCUCUCUAAUAUUGCUAUCUAAUAAUAAAAUGCUCCUUAUUUUCUGUCUUAUUUCUCCCACCCAUCUCAAAGCCAUGUCCAUUGUAAACAUUCUGCUCCCCAAAAUCACAGCCAUCACAGUGAGUGAAUGAACAUACAUUGUACACAGUGACUGCUAUAAGUAGUCUCCUGUGUGAGAGUCACCUGGAUGUUUGUCCAGUUAUUUAGGCACGUUGUAGCCCACUGUUGCUAUCAUAAAGUAAAUGAAAGUAUGUCAACACAGUAAGUACAUGUGGUACUUCUGUCUAGUGUUGCGGGAAUGACAAAAAUCAUUUAUAGUAGGAUUUGUUGUUUUGGAAACAAAAGUAAUUGAAGUGAGCCAUACGGGAGGCAACAUUGCAAACAGCUUGGAGUGCGGCGGAAGCCUUUGCUAUUCCAAAUUAUAAACGAGUAGCUGUUCAUGAGAAUGCCAGCAAUAUGAAACUGUGUACUGAGAACUGGAGAAAUGGGGCAACGUUCAAGGGGUCUGACACUUCAAAAAAAGUGCAAAAGCUACAGCUGCCUCGAAAGAGAAACAAACGCAGCAGAACGUUGCAGAGCACAAACUCUCGAUACUCGUUGGAACUCUACAUGUGAAAUGCUUAACCGAAUGGUGGAGUAACGAUGGCCAGUGACAGCUGUUUUGUCAGAUCCCAGCAUCACGAAGAAAGGAGAUCGAACCCUGGACCUGACAGCAGACCAAUGGACACUGGCACAGGAAAGAGCGGAAGUACUGGGGCCCCUAUUAACACUCACAAGAACUACUGUCACAGGAGGCAAACGUGUCGUUAUCUGCAACAGUGCCAAUGCUCUUCAACCUGAAGAAACACGACCGGAGGCGGAUGACAGCCCUGCCAGCGGUGAAUUGAAGAAACCCCUCAUCACUGAGAUUGACAGCAGAUGGCAAUUUUAAGUUUGGAGCCCAGCAGCAUCUACCUCCUUUCUUCAGCACUAGACCAGCGAUUCAAGCAACUGAAAUUCCUCGACAAUGAAUAGAAGGGCCUUGUUUAUAUUGAGGUUGUCCGCCUGGCUGAACAUCUGCUCUUGUGACAGGCCGUUCGGGAGGUGGGAGAGCCGUCAGCAAGCCACUGAGAAGAGGAGACUGCUGAACCACCAUCACCAAAAACAAAAGAAACAGGAGAUUUCCAUGCUGAUGGAGUGCGAAGACGAAGAGGACAAAGAAGACAGAGACAGUGCAAAGAAAGAGAUGGAGCAUUAUUUGAAAGACACGACUAAAGUCGGGCCCACUUGCAUGGUGGAAGCAAAACAGCGACCGCUACCCUAAUCUGGCAUUUGCAGCCAAACACUUCCUUUCCGGCCACUUAGCCCCAUCAGAGCGUAUUUUCUCUAAAGUUGGCUACGUCCUUAACAAGACAAGAAUCUUCCUCGCACACAGCGUGAAGAGUGUAGGUAGACGCAUGGCUUAAAUGAAGCUUGGAACCUGUUUGUGGGUUAUUUGAAAAUAAAUUGAUUGAUUUGUUUGUUUUAUUCUAUAGCAUGAGGCCAUUCAUUUAGUUUUAUUUAGACUUUUGUUGAAAUGUGUGGUGUGCUAUUAUUAAAAUGAUAUCUUGUUGUAUUUAUAAGUUAGUUUUAUUCCAUAUAAGGCCAUUAUUUGGUUUUAUUUAAAGUGUUUGUUGAAAUGUGUGUUGUGCUGUUUUAAAAUGAUGUGUUAAAUUCCCCUGUGGGAAUCAAUAAAGUUCAUUCUAUUCUACAUCA
Molecule: long non-coding RNA, 2521 nt
Organism: Micropterus salmoides (largemouth bass)
Lineage: Eukaryota; Metazoa; Chordata; Actinopteri; Centrarchiformes; Centrarchidae
Exons: 2
Source: RefSeq, a predicted model, not a curated record